Molecule: ribosomal RNA, 460 nt
Filed under: uncultured bacterium
Lineage: Bacteria
Description: partial 16S ribosomal RNA
Rfam family: Bacterial small subunit ribosomal RNA
Source: RNAcentral
CCUACGGGGUGCAGCAGUGAGGAAUAUUGGUCAAUGGACGAGAGUCUGAACCAGCCAAGUAGCGUGAAGGAUGACUGCCCUAUGGGUUGUAAACUUCUUUUAUCUGGGAAUAACAUGUUCCACGUGUGGGAUUUUGUAUGUAACAUAUGAAUAAGGAUCGGCUAACUCCGUGCCAGCAGCCGCGGUAAUACGGAGGAUCCGAGCGUUAUCCGGGUUUAUUGGGUUUAAAGGGAGCGUAGGUGGAUUGUUAAGGCAGUUGGGAAAGUUUGGGGCUCAACCGUAAAAUUGCAGUUGAAACUGGCAGUAUUGAGUAGAGGAGAGGUAUGCGGAAGUCGGGGUGGAGCGGUGAAAUGCUUAGAUAUCACGAAGAACUCCGAUUGCGAAGGCAGCUCACUGGACUGCAACUGACACUGAGGCUCGAAAGUGUGGGUAUCAAACAGGAUUAGAUACCCUAGUAGUC